This 1013-nucleotide long non-coding RNA is filed under the name Bemisia tabaci. RNAcentral describes it as "lncRNA ENSSSA1NGG007749". The record is from RNAcentral. Lineage: Eukaryota; Metazoa; Arthropoda; Insecta; Hemiptera; Aleyrodidae.
AGAAUGUUUUUCCAAUCGUUACUAUAAGCAGUGUUCUGCCAACGUACUCUCUGCAUUUCAUUCAACUCUUCUUUUGAAAAAGGUAUCAUUAUGAAUUUCAGGGAGAGGACACUCCGCCUGGAUCCGCGCCGCCUGUGUUCACACCACCGGAUGUCCCGUCAUUCUUGCUCGCUCCGCAAACCAUGGUUACCCAACCGACGCCCAUCCACGAAUUUCCGGAGCCACCUGCAGGCGGAUCUAAGGAAGGGGCGCCAGGAGGAGAAGAGUCCGAGGGCUUCGCGAUGGAGCUGACACGGGGUCAGCAGGAUCAAUACGAUUCGCAGUUCGACGAGGAUUAUGAUGGAGAGUCCGGGCCCCCUCCCAGUAUGCCACCGCCAAGUAUGCCACCACCAAGUAUGCCACCACCUAGUAUGCCACCACCCCCACCGGUCCAGAUAGCUGUCGUUACCGAUGAUGAAUGUGACGAUAGCAGCAAAGCAAUAGAGGAGCCGGCGGAGGUCGCGCCAGCGGAGGCGGCGCCGAAGAAGUCCAAGACGAGACAAAGCACGAGCAGCGCGGACAGCGGUGGAGGUCUAGGCGUGGCGCAGAUCGUCAUCACAGCCGCGACGCCGAUGAUGGAGGAGGCGGGGACGCCUUUCCCGCCUCCGCCUCCUUCGCCGCCCGCCCAACCGCCGCCUCCACCCCCGCCCACCGCCGCCGCCACCCCUUCGCCCACCCGGGAGGAGGGCGACGAGGAACUCGAAAACGCCGCCGCCAAGGAGGGACUCGACGAACCCCCCGCCGAAGGUAUUACCCGAGAGCCAACUCCGUUUCCACUGAGCAGUAGCACGGGGAGCGAGGAGGACACAGGGCCGAGCACAGCGGAGAAUUCUCAAACCUACCCAGCACCUACGACCCAAGCACAGCCGCAACUCAAAGCGGUGCCCACUUCCUUUCAGUCAGGAGAGAUCCCAGAUGAGUUGGAGCCCCAUCAACUGGCCCAACUCCAAGACUUGAAAGAGUCCAACGCAUAA